GGCGCUGUGGCUUAGCUGGUCAGAAUGCCUGUCUUGUAAACAGGAGAUCCUGGGCUUAAAUCCCAGCAGCGCCU
Molecule: transfer RNA, 74 nt
Filed under: Danio rerio (zebrafish)
Lineage: Eukaryota; Metazoa; Chordata; Actinopteri; Cypriniformes; Danionidae
Rfam family: tRNA
About the family: Transfer RNA (tRNA) molecules are approximately 80 nucleotides in length.
Source: Rfam by way of RNAcentral